AAAUCCGAACUGUUGUGCUCAAGAAGCUUCUAGGCCACCCAUCCCAACUUUAGUCGGUUAUAGUUCUUGCCUUUUCUGAUCUCUCAUCUUCUCCAUCGUCUCCAUCCGAUUUGAAACCAAUUCUCUAAAAGCAGCUCAGUUCAGCGAUCUUAUCCAUCUCCGGUCAUUUUCCAGUGAAACCGCGACAUAUUCGAGCACUCCUCUUCUCAGGUAAAUAUGUUCCCCUCUCUUUAAUCCUUCUGUAGCUACUGCAUGUGCCACCAUGUUUGCCAUUCUCGGGGUGUGUUUAAACCAGCAUAUCUGAAAACCCUUUUCAACUGUUAUAUACCCUUUAUGGAUUCACAUAUUUCUGAUUUGUCCACCCCAUUACUUUGACUCUUAUUGAUUACUGAAAAUGAAUCACCUUCAACCUCCACCGUUGAUAGAUAUAUUUCCAAACCCAUUUGAACCACCUGAGCCCAUGCGAGAGCUUCCGCCGCAAACGCGGAUGGUACGUUCCUGUUUAGCACCGUUUUAGAUCCUAGAACCCCUCCAUUUGAAUCCCUUAUCAUAAUCCUUGAACAAGAUGUGUUUUCUUGUUUGUUAAAGGCAACAUCGAAAUUAAUUUUGAGAUUUGACACCUCUAGUAAUCUCCAUCGCUCAAUCUCCUGUCCUCUGCUAGGUAACUUUUCCCUAUCCUAUCCAGUUCUCGUAUAUAGCUCGUAAUGAAAUAUGCUAUUAUUCAUCAUUGUGUUCGUUUUCCUUCAUGCAGCAACUUAUUUCUUUCUGUCCAAAUUACCAACAACGUACAGCAAAAGAGGCGACAUUGAUUAGAUGAAUUGUUUUAAAAAAUCUAGGUUAGCUACUCUAUGCACUUUGAAUUUGUUACCAAUGGUGGCCAAGCAAAAUCCAAUUUCUGCCGAAUUUCCUUUGUUACAGCGCAAUCACGAAAUACAUACUUUGUAUUCUCCACUUCACCUGGCACAUUAUGGUUCCAAGUAAUCUCUUAUAAUGUAGGCUAUUCAGAGUAGGCAGAAAAUUCAUGGAAAUUCUCCAGAUUGUAAUUUUUAGUUUAGGGACGAGAUCUAAAUUCCAAUUUUUUUUAUCACACCCGAUUUUCUUUAAGCCCAAAAAUUAGGAAUAAUUGGGGGUUAAAUUGAAAGAAGCUGUAAUUUGGCAGCCUUUACUAAAACAAUAGUGACUGAUUUAGACAUGGUUGAGGUCCAAUUCUAGUUCGGUUGGAUUAAAGCCAACUAAUUCCUUAGUGGGAGACGAAAUAAUUAUUAAUGGAGGGUUUUUAUACGAUUGAAGACCAUGCGUGAAUGGCUAAAAAUAGCUAAAAAAUGAUUUCCUAGGGUUAACUCUUCUCAAAUUUGCUUAUUUUUUUUUCUUCUUCAUCUUCUUCUUGGGUUUUUCCCAAAGAAGAGGUAGUUAUAGGAAGUUCUGCAUGGAGCGGUGAUCAUAAGGUUUGGGUUGAAAGUUAGAGAAUCUAGUAAGCUAGUAAGGUUCAUAGUCCUUUGGUAUACAUAGGAUUUAGAAAAUGAAGUUAAGGAUUUUCAGAAAACUUUUGAGGGGUUUUGUAUGUUUCUGAAAAACUGAGUUUUAAGUUAAAAAUACUAAGUUUAACUCAUGAGUUUGGCCAUAAUGCUUAGUUUCCAAGAGAAUGGAAGAUCUAGCAUUCAAAAAAGCUAAGCAUAGGAAGCAAAGAAACAUCAGGUGAGUUUCUAUACUCCAUUUCUGGGAUGUUGUAUAACUAGCCUUAACUGUUGUUGAGUUCUGUGACAAUGUAUUAUCACUAUUGUUUGAGAAUGCUUUGUAUGCAUAAAGUUAGGUAGGUAUAUAAGUAUGCAUAAAUAAGUUGGCAUACGUGAAAUGGUAUGAUUCCAUGUUUUAAAAGGAUAGCAUACUCCAUGAUAGUAUGUAAAUGAAAUGCAUGUAUUGCAUGUUUAAAACAGUGGGGUACAGAGGGGAGAUUAUUCACGGGUUAUAUGAAGCUACGAUUUGGCAAAUGGUGUUUCUUUAUUUCGCCAUCUGGUGUUGCCAAGUGCAAACAACGUGCGAAGCUCCAAGCCUUGCGAAGAGGACACUGCCGUGUUCGAGCAUCAAUGUUGGAAAGGAAGAAAUGGAGGCAUGGGCGGAUACUUAAGGAAAUGAAAUUUUUAUUAGAUUUUGCAAUCCGAUAUUGUUGAGAGAAAAUCGUGAUGUGUGAAGCUUGAGGCCUUGUAGAAGGGACACUUCGGUGUUCGAACAUUAAGGUUAAAAAUGAAAUGAUAUUGACUAGCUCGUUAAAGCGGUGCCAUGAAGAAAAUUAUUAGGUUUCACAGAACAUCGCAAUGACGAUUAGCAGGCUUUAUGCGGUGACAUUGCGACGACAGUAAGUUCCUUCUAGGAAACACCUCAAAGAAGUUUAAAGUGUAAGACCAUGGCUUGGCUAUGGUGACCAAUGGAGCCCGCCAAGAAAUUAAACAUGGGGUAUGUUGUGUAAGACCAUAGCUUGACUUUAGAAGCAUAGAGAGUUUGCCGAGAUUAAAUAUGGGGCAGUCCAUCAGGACAUUAAACAUAGGACCUAAUGAGUAAAACUAUAGCUUAGCUACGGCAACAUAUAGAGUUCGUCGGGACAUUAAACGCAAGGUAGUCUGCCAAGAUGAUGAUCUUGUAAAAUCACGUAAACGAGAAAAAAAUACAAGUGUUGAUAAGCGAUAGUUAGCCAACGGAACUGAGGAAUCUGCCAAGAAGGGUUAAAUGUAACAAAAAUGGGCAAAGUUUACCAAAGAUAUGUACAGGAAAGCUGGUAGGGUGUAGGUUGGUAACCCAACUAAAAUCAGUUAUGUAGAUGACGUGUCAAUAAAUAGGGGCUAAUUAGAACCCAUUGUCAAAUAUUUAGGCAAAUGACGUGUCAAUAAUGCCUAAUAUAUAGGCAAAUGAAAGAGGAUUUUAUCUGCGAACCAUAUUUAGAACCCCUAGAAGGGGCCCAAUGGAACUCUGUAUGUUAGGAGUUUGAUUAUAAGUACUAUGGAUAGUUUAUCGGUAAAUAGGGGCUAAUUCGAACCUAUUGUCAGGAAGAGGUACCAAAAAGGUUAAUCCAAGUGAAAGAUAUAUUUGUCAAGACUAUUCUUCUUUGAGGGAAAUUCUAGUGUGACAGUAUCCACUAUGGUGCUAGUUCCAUAAGAAAGCAUUGUAUAAGGAAGAAUAUGAACUCGAAUGGUCAAUAGUUUACUAGAAACGAUAUGCUGAAAUGAUCCAAUGUAGAUAGAUUUGAUGCGCUUUAAAAGUAAGGUGUCCCAAUUAGGGUUGUUUACAAGUAGGUAACCCAAACAACAUUUCAACCCAAGUGUAGGAUAGAAGUAGGAAAGGAUGAAAUACGAUUAAGUUCGUUAGUGUGGCGUGGGCCUUUUCUAGUUGGUCUUAUAAGUAGAAUGUCAGCUUACCCGCUAGUACUAUGGUGUUUUUACUAGUCAUGAUAAAACCAAAGAGGAUAUUCAUGAUAGGAAGUGUGAGGAAAAAGGGGAAUAGAAGGUGAUAUGUGCAAGGAAAAGUGAAAACCUGCAAGGAUGAUAAUUCAUCUGGAUUCCACCAAAUUAGUUGAAUGGUCAUACUAUGACUAGGAAAUGGUUGCUCAACAAUCAAUUCGCCAUCAAAGAAAGAUGAAAGUCAAAUAUGUGUCCGACACUUCAGAUAAAGUAGGAAAGUCUAAACAAAAUAGGGAGUAGUGUGUUUGGGUCUUUUCUAUUUAAAACAUCAGCAUGAUGAGACUUAGUUAUAUAUAUGUGCAAAGAAACUCGCUAAGUCAUUUGCACUUAUAGAAUAUAUGGCUUAUGUUGCAGGAUUCGAGGGAUAAGAAACUCGAAGGGGGAUUAAGCCAGACCUUGUUGGAGCAAGUAACACCGUUAGUUAGGAGUCAUGAACAUAAUGGAGGUACCUUUAGAGGUUUCGCCUCGAGGUCAAGUAUAUUGUAAAUAAAUAGUUUUCUUAGAGUUUGAAAUUGGAGAUAGUUUUUAUUUUAAUUUAAGGCUUCUGUUGUAAAAAAUAUUUAUUGCUACUUAAUAGAGUCUAUUUUUAAAACUAUUAAAUUUAAAAUUUGUUUUUAGUCUAAUUCGGUCCAUUUGUGGCACCCCGUACUCAGAUUCGAUGAUCGGGUCGAGUGAGAAUGUUACAAAUUUAAUGGUAUCAGAACAUGGUUUAGUCGGUUCCUAGAUAUAGGAAUUGAAAAAGUACCCUUUAUGUUCAUUAUGUUCAAUUUGGCUAGGUCAUCGAGUUCUUACUUUUAUUAAGUUAUUAUAUGUUGUAUGUAGAAGUAUGCGCCUAAAUUGACGAAUCGAAACAAAUGUAGAAGCAAAGGAUAAGUAAAGUGAUUGAAAAUACAAGUGAUGAAGAAAAGAAAUUUCAUUAAAGAAAAUAUGCAAAGGAAAUUAAGAAUUUUUAUUUGCUAGGUAUGUUGUCACCUCAACAGUGUCUUUACUUCCUUUUGGCUAAGUCUUUCGAAAAGAGUAGAAAUGAUCACGCUUGAUUUUUGAAAAUGAGAGUUGUUAGAUUCCUUCUGUCCCCUCUGGCAAUCCUCUCAUUGGAACUAGAGGAGUGGGAGUGUUGAAUUCAAGGACAAAACAGGCAUGUUUGCAUAUAUAAGUGGAGUUGUGAGAUUUGCAUCAGGAAGACACUUGUGUCAGGUUUGAAUGGGGAUUAAACGAGAAAGAUGAGGAGGAAGAUACACUUGGAUGCCGGACUUGGUAUACUCAGUAUACUCCAUAAGGAUUUAGAAUAACCCAUUUUGCAACCUCACCAUUUCAUCAAGAUGAAGCUUUCAAAGGCUAGUACCAUUUUCUAACCCUUUUUUAUAACCUUUAAAGGUUGAAUUUAGACCUUCAUGUGGAGAGAGAUGUAAACAUGUAACUUUGGUAGAUGAAUUUCUAUGAAUCUAAGGAGCUGUAUUACAACAUUGUUUGCUAGAAUAGGUGAUCCUCUUGAAAUCAACCUAUUUGGCUUCACUUCCAGUUUAAAAGGAGGUCAAUGAUUUUCCUCACCCUGUUAAUAAUUGAAAGGAAUCACCAAGUUGUUAAAGAAGGGUGGCAAACUCUUGACAAGGAAAAGAAAGGGAAGUGAAUGGUACUGUCGUGGUCUCCUAAUGAUGUUACAGUAGGAGUCGUUAUGAGAAGAAUCCAAGAAAGGAAUAGGGAUUUCGUGAAAAAAGACUUCCAUUUCUUGAGGCAAAUUCAUGCCAUGUCCUUGCUUAAUCAUAGGCAAAAGAGAUACAUAUUUUCCUGCGUUAAGCCAUCCUCUCCAAGAUAAGAAAAGGCUCAUCGCAUCCAAGGGAAAGGUACUGUAAGAGAUGAGAGGGUUAGUAGUAAAGAGAGAUGCACAAAAAGGGGUUCUGAGGUAGUCAUUUGCAUUGCCUAGUCGAUACUCCUCUCGAACUAGCCCGAAAGAAAAAUUAAGGUAGGGUAACUUGAUUCCUUGAAUGGUUAGGUGAUUUACCAUAUCGUGUUUGGUGAAAAUGCUCAUGUAAUUUAAAGGUCCUCACCCUUCUUAUGUUGUUUAUUUAAUUUUACUCAGCGAAUAUGAAGACAGGGAUAGAGAAAGUUCAUUAUCAAAAUUUCGGUGACAAGAAUACUAGAGAACAACACCCAAUAUUGUAAUUAGAUGAGAAAAAGAAAGAUAGGAAGAAGAAAAGUGGGAUAAUAAGUGGGUAGGCCAAGCCAAAUGUCUAUAGACUUAUGAACUUCCCUCUCAAUGUUCUGGUUUAUUUGUAACCAAAAGCGUGUAUUAAAAGUUAUGGAAAAUUUAAUGAAUGGUAAGGAACCGUUCAAGUCCAUCAAUGCAUGCAGGACACCUAUUGGCAUCAGGAGAAGGAAGAAUCUUUUAGUAUUCCCAGGGCGGGGAUAGUUGCCAACUGUUACCCAUUAGGGUGUAGCCUUCAGAAAAGUAGAGAUAGUCUUAGGUUCGUUCAAUGACAGCCCUUUUCGAAUAGAGAGGAUAAGCUUUUGUUACUUUUUGAUUAGAACUUUGAAAGUAGAGUGGUAGCUUUGGUACACGACCAAGGUAGUAGAGAAAGUAUAUCUUGGACAAGCUUAGUUACCCUAUGAUUAGAAGGAAUUAACCCAUUAACUGGUAAGGUUAGCAUACAAAAAGAUUUAGGAAUUUUGGAUUUCCCACUAGAAUUAAAAUCAAAGAGAUGUUAGCCAGGAGAUGUUCACCUUAGAGCGUCCACCAAAUUAAGAUUUGCAAAAAUAAUUUCUGGAUUGGAGUGUAUCUAGUAAUGGAAAGAUUAGAUACCUGACAAUGAGUUGAUAUCCAUAUUUCGUAAAGUGUUGAAGGAUCCACAAAAUAGGCAGAGCAAGUGUAAAGCGAAUGUAUGAAAGGGUAACCAAGUUGAAGGUUUUUAUAGAAAUGAAAAGUGAUUACUUUUGUGAACCAUAUAAGAGUAGAAAUGGGGAAAUAGUUUCUCUGAGUCCGCUUCUGAGGCUGAUCGGGAAAGGAAUUUGCAAGGAUAAAUUUCUUUUAGGGUGGGAGAGUUGUCUAACCCAAUUUUCUUUAAAUCUGGUGAUAAUUGAAAAACUUAUAUAAUUUAAUUACAUAUUUAUUUUGAGUACAAUCCUACUAAUUUAGAUUGUUUAUGGUUUUUUAUCUUGUAGGGACUAAAUUAAGGCAAAAGGAAAUUUAAGGGCAAAAAGUGUGAAUUUAAAGACAAAAUAGGUCAGCAUGCAAAAUAGGGAAGAAGUGGUGCAGUGAAUACAAAGUGUGGAAGACUUGGGGAAAAUUUUCAAAGAAAAGAUUUAUGGACAUAAAAAUUUGUUUAAAUUUGAAUUUGAAUUUUAAGAUUAUUGUUAGGAUUAUUAUUAUAUUCUUCAGAUUUAAUUUCAAUUUAUCUCUUAAACAUUGUCAUCUAAAGUUUGAAUAGGAACCAACUAAGGUCUUUCAUGUACUAUAAAUAGGGGAUGAAGUGACAUAAAUACUCACUCAUCACUUUUGUAAAAAAACUCCUUCCCCUUAAGACUCUUAGCCUUUUGUUUCUUUUCUUUUUCAAUAAAAUUUCGUUUCAUCAAACUUGUGUUUUUAUUCCCAAAAAUAAUGAGUAACUAAAUUAGUCUAGCCAAAGGUUAUCAAGAUUCUUCAAAAAGAGUGCAUUACGCUUAGAACUCGUACUUAACCCUUCUCAACGAGUAUUCAUCAUUUUUUCGCAUUACGAGACUGACGCUGUCGUCCAUGUCUUUUCAAAAGUAAUCUUUUCAUCUUGUGCAAAGGUGGUCUUUUUGCAUGUUUUGGGAAGGUUGCACAAUCGAUUUGCACAAACAUCUAAAAGAGUUUUAUAUGGUUUGUCUUAACAUGAAACCUUAGGGUGUAACUGAGGAUCAAAUCAAAUUAUGUGCUUUCCGUUUUCCCUAGUAGACUCUGCUAGGGAAUUGUUAUUUUAUCUACCUCUUGGAUCUAGCACAACCUGGGUUGAUCUUUCCCGUUUGUUUCUCAACAGAUUUUUCCCAUCAUCGUGCGUACCUGAGCUAAGGAGGGAGAUUGUUGGGAUAAGGUAAAAGGAUGUGGAGUCUCUUUACGAUUAUUGGGAAUAAUUUAAGAAUUUGUGUGCAAGUUGCCCACAACAUGAGAUAAUAGAAUAGUCUCUUC
This 7590-nucleotide long non-coding RNA is filed under the name Gossypium barbadense (sea-island cotton). RNAcentral's name for it is "long non-coding RNA (GBAR_LNC014786)". The record is from RNAcentral. Lineage: Eukaryota; Viridiplantae; Streptophyta; Magnoliopsida; Malvales; Malvaceae.